RNAcentral lists this ribosomal RNA (1341 nucleotides) under uncultured rumen bacterium. RNAcentral describes it as "bacterial SSU rRNA". It matches the Rfam family "Bacterial small subunit ribosomal RNA", at positions 43 to 1377 of the family's 1533-position model. The record is from RNAcentral.
CAGGCCUAACACAUGCAAGUCGCGGGGCAUCGGGAGAGAAGCUUGCUUUUCUUGCCGGCGACCGGCGCACGGGUGAGUAACGCGUAUCCAACCUUCCCCUCAGUAGGGCAUAGCCCGUAGAAAUGCGGAUUAAUACCCUAUGCUGUCCGAUGAGGACAUCUGAGCUGGACGAAAGGUUUACCGCUGAGGGAUGGGGAUGCGUCUGAUUAGGUAGUCGGCGGGGUAACGGCCCACCGAGCCAUCGAUCAGUAGGGGUUCUGAGAGGAAGGUCCCCCACACUGGUACUGAGACACGGACCAGACUCCUACGGGAGGCAGCAGUGAGGAAUAUUGGUCAAUGGGCGAGAGCCUGAACCAGCCAAGUAGCGUGCAGGAUGACGGCCCUACGGGUUGUAAACUGCUUUUAUGCGGGGAUAAAGUGAGGGACUUGUCCCUUUUUGCAGGUACCGCAUGAAUAAGGACCGGCUAAUUCCGUGCCAGCAGCCGCGGUAAUACGGAAGGUCCGGGCGUUAUCCGGAUUUAUUGGGUUUAAAGGGAGCGCAGGCCGGUGUGUAAGCGUGACGUCAAAUACAGCCGCUCAACGGUUGUCCGCGUCGCGAACUGCAUGCCUUGAGUACGCUGCAAGUGGGCGGAAUUCGUGGUGUAGCGGUGAAAUGCUUAGAUAUCACGAAGAACUCCGAUUGCGAAGGCAGCCCGCUGUUGCGUCACUGACGCUGAGGCUCGAAGGUGCGGGUAUCGAACAGGAUUAGAUACCCUGGUAGUCCGCACUGUAAACGAUGGACACCCGCUGUGUGGCCUUUUUGGUUGCGCGGCCAAGCGAAAGCAUUAAGUGUCCCACCUGGGGAGUACGCCGGCAACGGUGAAACUCAAAGGAAUUGACGGGGGCCCGCACAAGCGGAGGAACAUGUGGUUUAAUUCGAUGAUACGCGAGGAACCUUACCCGGGCUCGAACGGCAGAGGAACAAUCCAGAGAUGGUGCGGCCCUUCGGGGCUUCUGUCGAGGUGCUGCAUGGUUGUCGUCAGCUCGUGCCGUGAGGUGUCGGCUCAAGUGCCAUAACGAGCGCAACCCUUGCCGUCAGUUACCAUCAAGUAGUGUUGGGGACUCUGGCGGGACUGCCACCGCAAGGUGUGAGGAAGGGGGGGAUGACGUCAAAUCAGCACGGCCCUUACGUCCCGGGCGACACACGUGUUACAAUGGCGGCCACAGAGGGGCACUACCUGGCGACAGGAUGGGAAUCUCGAAAAGCCGUCUCAGUCCGGAUCGGAGUCUGCAACCCGACUCCGUGAAGCUGGAUUCGCUAGUAAUCGCGCAUCAGCCAUGGCGCGGUGAAUACGUUCCCGG